AUGAACAGAGCAUGUGUGUCUUAUCAGAAGAGCUAGUCAAUUUCUGUAGGUAUAUAAUGUGUAGAGUACAUAAUAGAUAAUUUUUAAAGUGUUAAAACGCGGCAAAAAUAAUAAAUAUAGACCAAGCAGUUGCCUUAUCUGAACGGUUCAAAGACCGCCCUUUGCCACCAUUGGACACUGCUGUUUAUUGGACAGAGUACGUUGUAAAACAUAAAGGAGCCCCUUUCAUGAAGACUGCUGCUGCGGAUAUGCCUUUCUAUCAAUAUUAUUUGCUAGAUGUUCUUGGGUUAAUUUUUGUAAUUUUAGGGUUCAUUAUUUAUUUGACAGUCUAUGUGACAAGACUGAUAUUAAGAAUUAUGCUCAGGGUUUCAGCUAAAAAAGUAAAAACGCAAUAAAUAUAUAAAGACUGAAUAAA
This 415-nucleotide unclassified non-coding RNA is filed under the name Diabrotica virgifera virgifera (western corn rootworm). RNAcentral describes it as "uDP-glycosyltransferase UGT5-like". Lineage: Eukaryota; Metazoa; Arthropoda; Insecta; Coleoptera; Chrysomelidae. The record is from RNAcentral.